AAUAGAUACCCGGGUAGUCCACGCCGUAAACGAUGAGUGCUAAGUGUUAGAGGGUUUCCGCCCUUUAGUGCUGAAGUUAACGCAUUAAGCACUCCGCCUGGGGAGUACGGCCGCAAGGCUGAAACUCAAAGGAAUUGACGGGGGCCCGCACAAGCGGUGGAGCAUGUGGUUUAAUUCGAAGCAACGCGAAGAACCUUACCAGGUCUUGACAUCCUCUGACAACCCUAGAGAUAGGGCUUCUCCUUCGGGAGCAAAGUGACAGGUGGUGCAUGGUUGUCGUCAGCUCGUGUCGUGAGAUGUUGGGUUAAGUCCCGCAACGAGCGCAACCCUUGAUCUUAGUUGCCAUCAUUAAGUUGGGCACUCUAAGGUGACUGCCGGUGACAAACCGGAGGAAGGUGGGGAUGACGUCAAAUCAUCAUGCCCCUUAUGACCUGGGCUACACACGUGCUACAAUGGACGGUACAAAGAGCUGCAAGACCGCGAGGUGGAGCUAAUCUCAUAAAACCCGUUCUCAGUUCGGAUUGUAGGCUGCAACUCCG
RNAcentral lists this ribosomal RNA (539 nucleotides) under uncultured bacterium. Its description in RNAcentral is "bacterial SSU rRNA". It matches the Rfam family "Bacterial small subunit ribosomal RNA", at positions 777 to 1314 of the family's 1533-position model. The record is from RNAcentral.